Molecule: ribosomal RNA, 1380 nt
Filed under: Triticum aestivum (bread wheat)
Lineage: Eukaryota; Viridiplantae; Streptophyta; Magnoliopsida; Poales; Poaceae
Description: partial small subunit ribosomal RNA
Source: RNAcentral
AUGGAGCUCGCCGCCUCCGUGAACCGGCCUCCUCCUCUGCUCGCCGCCUUGCCUUCCGUCUGGAUCCGGCACCACCAUGGGCCGGCCUACCAGAUCUGUCGCCCCGCGUCCUUCCCCGACCCCCCCCCCUUGCUGCACCUCCUCGCCGGAUCGGACCACCACCGUUGUCGUGCCUUGCCUCGACCUCACCUAGGUCAGGGACGAGUCACCCUCGCCCGCUUGUCCCUGGCAGUGGGCCCGCGCGCCCGAGCCCGGACACGUCCGCUCGUCUCGGGACAUUCGCGGCUGUGCGACCGAGCCAGAUCCCGACCCCGACCCCGCUCGCCUUCUUCUUCAUUUCUUCCUGCUCCCUGCGUCGCCGUCGCCGUCGCCCGCCACCGCUGGCCGCCACACCACGCCGCUGCAGCCAUGGUUCUGGAGGACGAGAGCAGCGAUGACAACUCAAGCCUCCCCUACAUGUACUCCGAAACCUCCACCGAUGGGCUGAACCAGGUGCCUUUCUCACUUGAGGACCCGGAUUACAAGGGCCUUGAGCUAGAUCUGAUGGUGUUCUGCGAGAAGCAUGGGAAGCCAUCAGAGAGGCUUGUUGCGUUUGAAGGAACAAUGACUGGGAGAAGGUUCUUAGCAUGUGCUGAGCCGGUAGUCUCAUUAGCUAGCUUGUUGCUGCAGGCUAGUGUAGUGCAUUUACUCUGGUGCCUGGAAGGUCAGAAUUGUGGGUUUGUUCAGUGGGUUGAUGAGCAGUGGCCCCCAACAAUGGAGAAUGCAUUGUUGAAGCUUUGGUCAAUGGUUGAAGAGAGCAAGUGUGCUAGGGUGAAUGAUAAUCUUGAAAGUUCUUUAACUAUUCACCAUUUGAUAGAACAAAAGAACAAGCUGGAUGCAGACUAUGACAAGUUGGUGAAAGAUGUGCAUCAACUUGUCGAUAUCCAGGCUGAUAGGGUUGUGGAUUUUAGUUAUCUACAGUCCAACCUCACAUAUCAGCAGGAAUGCAGAGCUGAGUUGAUUGCUGGUAUGAAGGCAGAAAUGGCAAAGAAAGAUGCAGCUGCAGAGAAGGUUCAACAGAAGUAUGAAAUCCUGUGCAACCUGACAAGUGCUCAAGCAACUGUCAUCCAAAACCUAAAGUUGAAGAAUAUGAAAGAGAAGGAAUUGCUGAGUGAGGCUAGGAUGAAUUUGGAGUUGAAGAAUGCAGAGUUCACACAGUUUGAGGAGAAACUCACCCAAGAGAAGCUAGAGUUGAAGUUCCAGGUUGCUGAUCUGCUGAAGCUCAAGGAAAACUAUAAUGAAGAGAAGCAGAUGCAAGAGUUUAAGAUUACUGAGCUCAUGAAGGCACAGGAGAAGCUGAAGGAGAAGAUCAAGGGGAUCCAGGCCAUCUUGCAGAACUAA